GACGAACGCUGGCGGCGUGCCUAAUACAUGCAAGUCGAGCGGACCGGAUUGGGGCUUGCCUUGAUUCGGUCAGCGGCGGACGGGUGAGUAACACGUGGGCAACCUGCCCGCAAGACCGGGAUAACUCCGGGAAACCGGAGCUAAUACCGGAUAACACCGAAGACCGCAUGGUCUUCGGUUGAAAGGCGGCCUUUGGGCUGUCACUUGCGGAUGGGCCCGCGGCGCAUUAGCUAGUUGGUGAGGUAACGGCUCACCAAGGCGACGAUGCGUAGCCGGCCUGAGAGGGUGACCGGCCACACUGGGCCUGAGACACGGCCCAGACUCCUCCGGGAGGCAGCAGUAGGGAAUCUUCCGCAAUGGGCGAAAGCCUGACGGAGCGACGCCGCGUGAGCGAAGAAGGCCUUCGGGUCGUAAAGCUCUGUUGUGAGGGACGAAGGAGCGUCGUUCGAAGAGGGCGGCGCGGUGACGGUACCUCACGAGAAAGCCCCGGCUAACUACGUG
RNAcentral lists this ribosomal RNA (501 nucleotides) under uncultured bacterium. RNAcentral's name for it is "partial 16S ribosomal RNA". It matches the Rfam family "Bacterial small subunit ribosomal RNA", at positions 28 to 507 of the family's 1533-position model. The record is from RNAcentral.